RNAcentral lists this ribosomal RNA (162 nucleotides) under Petroselinum crispum (parsley). Its description in RNAcentral is "5.8S ribosomal RNA". It matches the Rfam family "5.8S ribosomal RNA". Rfam says of the family: 5.8S ribosomal RNA (5.8S rRNA) is a component of the large subunit of the eukaryotic ribosome. It is transcribed by RNA polymerase I as part of the 45S precursor that also contains 18S and 28S rRNA. Functionally, it is thought that 5.8S rRNA may be involved in ribosome translocation. The record is from RNAcentral. RNAcentral also lists the same sequence under 6 other names. Lineage: Eukaryota; Viridiplantae; Streptophyta; Magnoliopsida; Apiales; Apiaceae.
AACGACUCUCGACAACGGAUAUCUCGGCUCUCGCAUCGAUGAAGAACGUAGCGAAAUGCGAUACUUGGUGUGAAUUGCAGAAUCCCGUGAACCAUCGAGUCUUUGAACGCAAGUUGCGCCCGAAGCCAAUAGGCCGAGGGCACGUCUGCCUGGGUGUCACGC